GCCACUGUGGCGGAACUGGUAGACGCGCAUCGUUCAGAUCGAUGUGAGAGUAUUCUCGUGCAGGUUCGACUCCUGUCAGUGGCA
This 84-nucleotide transfer RNA is filed under the name Weissella koreensis. It matches the Rfam family "tRNA". Rfam says of the family: Transfer RNA (tRNA) molecules are approximately 80 nucleotides in length. Their secondary structure includes four short double-helical elements and three loops (D, anti-codon, and T loops). The record is from Rfam by way of RNAcentral. Lineage: Bacteria; Bacillati; Bacillota; Bacilli; Lactobacillales; Lactobacillaceae. RNAcentral also lists the same sequence under 2 other names.